UCUAUUUGGAAAUUGUUUUAGGU
Molecule: small nuclear RNA, 23 nt
Filed under: Arabidopsis thaliana (thale cress)
Lineage: Eukaryota; Viridiplantae; Streptophyta; Magnoliopsida; Brassicales; Brassicaceae
Description: snRNA_12278
Source: RNAcentral